CCCAUCGCUUCCACCAAAAAAAAGAAACAAAGUUAAACAAACACGCCCUUAGCCUUAGGGUUAUCGACUUUGAAAUUCUAUGCCCUAAGCUGAGGAACAACGACCCUUUAAUCGCCAAUUGGAUCCGAUGGGGAGACUCUCUUCGGCCGUGGAAAUCCCCGACCGUCGCCGGUGGUCUCCUGAUGACCGGCGUGCUCGUAGCUAUGGACGAAGAAGCCGUAGCCGAAGCCCCAGUCGGAGCCGGAGUAGGAGCCGGAGCCCGGGGUAUAACCGGCGUGCUUCCCCGGAUUAUACAUACCCUAGCAUGGAGGAUACUGAAAGAUCCGGUGGUAGAAGGAAAUACAGAUACGAUGAUCCGAAGCAGCCCUACCUGGAUCGGGAUUACGGAAAUAAUAAAAAUCCGGAGUCUGAAUCGGAUGAAGAAUUGAAAGGCUUAGCUUACGAAGAAUACCGCAGGCUCAAGCGGCAGAAAUUGAGGAAAUCGCUCAGAAACAACUUUUGGAAUUGCACUCCUAGCCCCCCUAGGAAUCCGAAUGAGAAAUCGGAUGAAGAAUUGGAGGAAGAUGUUGGGGGCGACGUAUCAAAACAGCGUGAGGAUUUGAAAUUGGUCGCUAAACGUACUACGGAGACGGAAUCCGAGUCUGAAUCCGAAUCAGAGAAUACUGAGACUGAAACAGAUGAUUCCAGGUCGAGAAAGGGUAGGAAAUCUGGUUCUAGGAGGAGUAAGAGAUCAAAACAUGUGUCUGAGAGUGAGUCUGAAGAGGAGUCAAGUGAAGAAGAUUCAGAGGAAGAGAGGAGGAGAAAGAAGAAGAAGAGGAAAGAAAGGAGGAGUGGGAGAAGUCAUAGGAAAAAGAGCAGUCGACGCAGUCGGAGGAAGAGGAGAAGGAGGAGUUCAUCUAGUGAAAGUGAAAGUCUGAAUGAUAGUGAGGAAUCUGAAACAAGUGAUCAUGUGAAGCAGAAGAAAAGAAACAAUGGAUCGUCUUCAGGGUCCAAGAGAGCUAAGAGUAAGAGAGAAAAAGAAAUCGAGAAUGUAAAGUCAGAUGGGAAGGAUUCCAGUUCAGAAGACGAUGCUAACGAUGUUGCUCAGAAGGCAGAGGAACUCAAUCUCAGCGAUGAUGUUAAUGGCGAGCUGCUUAAGUUCAAGGAAAUGAUUGAGUUAAAAAAGAAGCCGAGCUUGGAUAACGAGCCAGUGGUUGGGCCAAUGCCUCUGCCGAGGGCAGAAGGACAUAUCAGCUAUGGUGGUGCACUAAGGCCCGGUGAAGGUGAUGCCAUUGCGCAGUAUGUUCAGCAAGGGAAGCGUAUCCCGCGUAGAGGUGAAGUGGGACUUUCAGCAGAGGAGAUUUCAAAGUUUGAGACACUUGGCUAUGUGAUGAGCGGCAGCAGACAUCAGAGGAUGAAUGCGAUCCGUAUCAGAAAGGAAAACCAGGUUUAUAGUGCAGAAGACAAGCGAGCUUUGGCUAUGUUUAACUAUGAGGAAAAGGCGAAGCGCGAGCAGAAGGUUAUGGCUGAUUUGCAGCGAUUGGUGCAGCGCCAUAUUGGGCAGGAUACAGGACCUUCUCAUGAUCCAUUCAGUGGAAGGGCCGGGGAGGACGUCGAUGAUUGACCGUUUAUCUUGUUAUUGGCUUGAGGUUAUUACAUGCCCCGGCGAUAUGCUCAUACGAUUUUGCUUCAGAGCUAUAGAGAGCAUCUUCAUGCACUGUUACUGUUUAAGCUAUUUAGUUAUAACUGAAACGAAGUGGCAAACAAACCAUGACACGAAAUUAUUUCCAGCUUGGAUUGACACAAGGAAAAGAAGCAUUUACAUGGAAGAGAACCGGCAGCGAAUCAUUCUCUCCACAAAGUUCUGAUCACAUUAACAUAUGACACCACCCACCCUCACACACACACACCACUGAAAAGAACAGCGUAAUGGCAGUAGGCCCGAAGAAAAAGGAUGGUGAGAGAAACUAAGGAAGAAGCAUAUCAUACUUUGGUGAGAGAAACUAAGGAAGAAGCAUAUCAUACUUUGUAGAUCUGUGGGCAUGGAAUUUGGAAGAGGUUGGGAGUUGAAUGGUAGAGUAAUGAUAAGUAGUUUUCAAGAAUGCCUCAAUAAAUACAUUACCACAUGACUUUAUAAUACACAGCACAUGUAUGGUAGCCUUGAAUUUUUAUUUAUUUAUUAUUAUUGUUUUUUAAUUAGUCUCUGUUUUGGCUUUAAAUCAAGUAGACUUAUCACUUGUAUUCAUGAUUAUAGCUGUUGAGGGUUAUGAUUAGAAAUAAUGUCACUAAACUUGUUAGGGGAAAUGAUCUAACAAAAAAUGAGAGAAGCCAUAGCACCACAAGAAGCUUUUUUGUACUUUACAGCUUUAUUGUCCAUUUAGUGCAUUACACUUGUUUCUUGGAGAGUAUUGAAUGAAAUUUUUGAAAAGAUUGAACAUAGAUCUUUAGUGGGGUAUUUAUGCUAUGCAUCUCAAGUUUAAAUAAACUUGAUCAUCAAGAAAAGAGUCAGGGUGGGUCUUGAUUGUUUUGUUGUUAGCAUCUCUUCAAUGAUUUAAUUGUUAAAGAAGCUAUUAAUAAAAGCAGGUAAGAUGCUUAAGAAUGAAGGGUUUUUAAUGUAGCCAGUGGAUUAAAUAUUUGACAUAUCAUUCACUAUUUUGGCUUGACUUCCUUAAUCAUUUCAUGUUAGAACCAAUUAUUUGAUUUAAUUUAAGUCACCACCAUUCAAUAUUGUGUAUGUAUGUAGAUAGUGACUGAAACAGGGGAAGGGGCAUUACCACUUUCAGAGACAGGGAUGUUUUCCAAAUUGCAGUGGCUGGUAAAUUAAUUAUGCUAUCAUUAAUGAGAAUGGAUAUGAAUAUAUGAUAGAAAGUAAACACAUAUAUAUAUAUAUAUCACAGAAUUAUCCAAUACAUAUUAUAAUAUGUAUGUAUACAUCCUAAUCAACAUUAAACUCAACACCUAACAAAUGGACACACACACACACACACACACGUAUAUUACAUACAUGUUUGUGUGUGUAUUCAGAGUAGUUUAGUUUAAUCCCUCCAAACCUUUAAGUCCACUAUUAGUGUAAAUGAAUCAUAAUCAGAGCUAUAAUAAAAUGCAAAUAGAGAUAGAAAGGCAAGUUUGGCUUGUUGUUAAAGCCUUUUUUUGUGAUCAUUUUUAGGCAUGCUGAAGUAUUCCCACUUUUGCUUUCCUUGUAUUAGCCAUUAAUAAAUCUUUCUGCUCAAACAGUCACUAGUCAGCCCUCUAUAAAUGCAUCUUCUCUAAAAUGUAGCUCUUCCCUUGACACUGUCAAUUCCCAAUUUGUACAUCUACCAAUGUGAUCUAAAAAAUUCCAAUAUUGACAAGAAUCAAUCCAAUGAGAGAGAGAGAGAGUGGGGUAGCCCGAUUUCAAAAACACUAGUAUAACAACUGGCAUCCUCUCUCACUCAUGCUUAUUAUUUUUCUUUCUUGGUCAGAUUGCCUUGUCCUAUACUGCUCAUCUCCUAGAGUUCUUCUCAGGCCUAUUUUCAAGAGAAGUG
Molecule: RNA transcript, 3503 nt
Organism: Andrographis paniculata
Lineage: Eukaryota; Viridiplantae; Streptophyta; Magnoliopsida; Lamiales; Acanthaceae
Exons: 5
Source: RefSeq, a predicted model, not a curated record